RNAcentral lists this transfer RNA (33 nucleotides) under Rosa spinosissima. RNAcentral describes it as "partial tRNA-Val". The record is from RNAcentral. RNAcentral also lists the same sequence under 12 other names. Lineage: Eukaryota; Viridiplantae; Streptophyta; Magnoliopsida; Rosales; Rosaceae.
UAAUUUAUAUGUAAUUAGUUAAAUUUAUAUUUA